UAGGAUACACUGGGAUAAGCUUUUAAGUGUGGAGACAGUCGAGGAGCAGUGGAACAGGUUUAAAAAUGUUUUACAUGUAAUGCAGGACAGAUACAUACCUAAAUUUGGAAUUAAUAGGAAACUAAAAAAAACUCCACGGUGGAUUAAUAAAGAUUUAAAAAAGACGCUGCAAAGGAAAAAACAGCUUUAUAAGGCAUAUAAGACUAAUGACUGCAAAGUGAAUUGUAGAGCGUAUGAGAACAUGAGGGCAACCAUUAAGAAGGAUAUCAGGAAGGCUAAAAGACAAUUGGAGAGGAAUAUAGCAGAUAAGGCGAAAGACGACCCUAAGAGAUUCUUUCAGUAUUUUAGUAGUAAAAGAACAGUUAAGGAGGAGGUCAAGUGCAUCAGGAAUAGUAAAGGGGAAUUAAAAGAUACAGACAGUGAAAUAGCGGAUGCCUUAAACUUACAUUUUUCUGAGGUGUUUACAAGUGAGCAAGUGGAUAACCUCCCAGAGGUAAACGCGACUACUAAGGAGGUACUGAGGGAUUUGGAAAUUGUAGAGGGAGAAAUACUGCUCAGAUUAAAUAAGCUGAAAUUGAACAAAUCACCAGGACCAGAUAAUAUUUAUCCUCGUGUUCUUAAGGAGGCUAGUGAGUACAGAUAUAAACCCUUGACGCAUAUUUUUUAGGAAGUCACUGCGCACUGGA
This is a long non-coding RNA of Erpetoichthys calabaricus (reedfish), 686 nucleotides long. RefSeq lists it as uncharacterized. The record is from RefSeq and is a predicted model, not a curated record. The transcript has 3 exons. NCBI's taxonomy places the organism in Eukaryota, Metazoa, Chordata, Cladistia, Polypteriformes, Polypteridae.